This 484-nucleotide ribosomal RNA is filed under the name uncultured bacterium. RNAcentral's name for it is "partial 16S ribosomal RNA". It matches the Rfam family "Bacterial small subunit ribosomal RNA", at positions 30 to 507 of the family's 1533-position model. The record is from RNAcentral.
AUUGAACGCUGGCGGCAGGCCUAACACAUGCAAGUCGAGCGGUUGAAGGGAGCUUGCUCCUGGAUUCAGCGGCGGACGGGUGAGUAAUGCCUAGGAAUCUGCCUGUGGGUGGGGGAUAACGUCCGGGAACGGGCGCUAAUACCGCAUACGUUCUGAGGGAGAAAGAGGGGGUUCUUCGGACCUCACGCUAUCAGAUGAGCCUAGGUCGGAUUAGCUAGUUGGUGGGGUAAAGGCCUACCAAGACGACGAUCCGUAACUGGUCUGAGAGGAUGAUCAGUCACACUGGAACUGAGACACGGUCCAGACUCCUACGGGAGGCAGCAGUGGGGAAUAUUGGACAAUGGGCGAAAGCCUGAUCCAGCCAUGCCGCGUGUGUGAAGAAGGUCUUCGGAUUGUAAAGCACUUUAAGUUGGGAGGAAGGGCAGUAAGUUAAUACCUUGCUGUUUUGACGUUACCAACAGAAUAAGCACCGGCUAACUUCGUG